AAAAAUAACAAUUUUUUAUUUUUCACACAAAUUUUAUGAUCCACUCACGCCAAAACUCUCUCUAUAACAAACCAACCCAACCUCCAUGUUUGGCAAUCAAAAAUUAAAAAGGAAAAAAAUCAAUUGCAAAAGCAAAACCCUAAAUAUUCAUUUUUUUUGUUUUUCCAAUUCUAAUUCAAUUUAUGAUAAGGAUUAUCCUUUCUUCAAUAACCACCAAUCCCAUUUUUUUCUCUAUCUCAGACGAAUUUUCAGCUUUAUUUUCUCUGAUUACUUUUCUUUUUCCCAAUCUUCCAUACAAGACGACAAUCUAAUGGGAUUUGGGUCGAUUUUCAAUCGAAAAAAGAAGCGAUUUUCCUCUUCGAAUACCCCAAAUUCAACGGCUUCUCCAGCUGUUCCUUCCGAUGGAUCAUCGUUCCUUCAAUCUCCAAUGCGAACCCCAUCGAGAAAUUUUACACAAACCCAACUCCAAGAACUCGAAGAAGUCUUCAAAAAGUUCGACGUCAAUGGCGACGGCAAGAUCUCAUCAUCCGAACUGGGUUCCAUCAUGGGUUCCGUCGGCCAACAACCCUCCGAAGAAGAACUCCGGAAUAUGAUCAAAGAAUUCGACGCUGACGAUGACGGGUUCAUAAAUUUCAAGGAAUUCGUUGAGCUGAACACCAAAGGAGUCGACUCGGACGAGAUCUUGGAGAACCUGAAGGACGCUUUCUCGGUCUAUGACAGAGACGGGAAUGGUUCGAUUUCAGCUGAGGAGCUUCAUGAGGUUCUGAAAAGCCUGGGCGAUGAAUGUUCCAUCGAAGAAUGUAGGAAGAUGAUAAGUGGAGUAGAUAACGAUGGAGAUGGGAUGAUUGAUUUUGAAGAGUUUAAGGUUAUGAUGAUGGCUGACUCCAGGUAGCCUCAGAGAGGAGUUACUAUCAAAAAUCGAAUGACGAUUCUUCUCUUUUUGGAGGAGAUAGACCAUCAUCCUCUUGGCUUGGGUAAGUGCAGUUCGACCUCCUGAAGUGGGUCAGGAGGGAAGGUGGGUUGGUGCACAAGGCAGUCAAGAUAACCCAGUACACUACCUAUGGGUUAGGCCUCGUAGCUUCUGGAGAAAUCCCCAAAGGCUCUGAUCUUACCGUACUUCCUGCUGUGGCUGGCUCUGUCUUGCUCCAUUUGUCAAACCAGGUUCCUGAAAGAUGAAGAAAAGUGCCCUUGCUCCUGGCAGAAAAAUCCGCUGAAGUUAUGUUUCUUCUGGCCUGUUCAGUUUCAUGAGUCCUACGUUAUACCAACUUAGCCAACG
Non-coding RNA from Durio zibethinus, 1276 nucleotides. NCBI's taxonomy places the organism in Eukaryota, Viridiplantae, Streptophyta, Magnoliopsida, Malvales, Malvaceae. The record is from RefSeq and is a predicted model, not a curated record.